AAAAAUGCGCCCGACUCCAACAUCAAUGAGUAAUAUAUGCUGUGCACCCGCCGCGGCCGCAAGUAGGCUGUGGAUCGCACCUAUAAAAUGUCUCUCGGUCGACAUGGAGUGCAUCAUUCGGAAGUGACAGUAUUCAUAGUGGUGAUAGCAAAGCUACGCAGAGCAGUUGAUUAGCCGAUAUAGAAAUAUUCGUGUUUGAUAAGAUUAGUUGUUUGAGAGUGUCGUUAGAGCAACAACCAGAAUGUCGUGUAAAUGCUGCGGUAAUGCUAAUUGUCGAUGCACUACUUGCUGUGGAGUGGACACACCAUGCGAGUCAGGAUGUACAUGUAAAUGUAAUUGCAAGACCGGAAAGACUUGCACUAAACCUGGUUGCUGUUAGACGCAAUAAUUGUACUGUCAGAAUCGUGGAAGUUGUUUUUGAACAAAUAAAAUGUGGUUCUGAACUGUA
Molecule: long non-coding RNA, 448 nt
Organism: Topomyia yanbarensis
Lineage: Eukaryota; Metazoa; Arthropoda; Insecta; Diptera; Culicidae
Exons: 2
Source: RefSeq, a predicted model, not a curated record